This 497-nucleotide ribosomal RNA is filed under the name uncultured bacterium. RNAcentral describes it as "partial 16S ribosomal RNA". It matches the Rfam family "Bacterial small subunit ribosomal RNA", at positions 28 to 507 of the family's 1533-position model. The record is from RNAcentral.
GACGAACGCUGGCGGCGUGCCUAAUACAUGCAAGUAGAACGCUGAAGCUUGGUGCUUGCACCGAGCGGAUGAGUUGCGAACGGGUGAGUAACGCGUAGGUAACCUGCCUGGUAGCGGGGGAUAACUAUUGGAAACGAUAGCUAAUACCGCAUAAUAGUAGAUGUUGCAUGACAUUUGCUUAAAAGGUGCAAUUGCAUCACUACCAGAUGGACCUGCGUUGUAUUAGCUAGUUGGUGAGGUAACGGCUCACCAAGGCAACGAUACAUAGCCGACCUGAGAGGGUGAUCGGCCAAACUGGGACUGAGACACGGCCCAGACUCCUACGGGAGGCAGCAGUAGGGAAUCUUCGGCAAUGGACGGAAGUCUGACCGAGCAACGCCGCGGGAGGGAAGAAGGUUUUCGGAUCGUAAAGCUCUGUUGUAAGAGAAGAACGAGUGUGAGAGUGGAAAGUUCACACUGUGACGGUAUCUUACCAGAAAGGGACGGCUAACUACGUG